GAUGAACGCUGGCGGCGUGCCUAAUACAUGCAAGUCGAGCGAACAGACGAGGAGCUUGCUCCUUCGACGUUAGCGGCGGACGGGUGAGUAACACGUAGGUAACCUACCUAUAAGACUGGGAUAACUUCGGGAAACCGGAGCUAAUACCGGAUAAUAUUUCGAACCGCAUGGUUCGAUAGUGAAAGAUGGCUUUGCUAUCACUUAUAGAUGGACCCGCGCCGUAUUAGCUAGUUGGUAAGGUAACGGCUUACCAAGGCAACGAUACGUAGCCGACCUGAGAGGGUGAUCGGCCACACUGGAACUGAGACACGGUCCAGACUCCUACGGGAGGCAGCAGUAGGGAAUCUUCCGCAAUGGGCGAAAGCCUGACGGAGCAACGCGGCGUGAGUGAUGAAGGUCUUCGGAUCGUAAAACUCUGUUAUUAGGGAAGAACAAACGUGUAAGUAACUGUGCACGUCUUGACGGUACCUAAUCAGAAAGCCACGGCUAACUACGUG
RNAcentral lists this ribosomal RNA (497 nucleotides) under uncultured bacterium. RNAcentral describes it as "partial 16S ribosomal RNA". It matches the Rfam family "Bacterial small subunit ribosomal RNA", at positions 28 to 507 of the family's 1533-position model. The record is from RNAcentral.